GACGAACGCUGGCGGCGUGCUUAACACAUGCAAGUCGAACGGUAAGGCCCUUCGGGGUCCACGAGUGGCGAACGGGUGAGUAACACGUGGGUAAUCUGCCCUGCACAUCGGGAUAAGCCUGGGAAACUGGGUCUAAUACCGAAUAGGACCACAGGACACAUGUCCUGUGGUGGAAAGCUUUUGCGGUGUGGGAUGGGCCCGCGGCCUAUCAGCUUGUUGGUGGGGUGAUGGCCUACCAAGGCGACGACGGGUAGCCGGCCUGAGAGGGUGUCCGGCCACACUGGGACUGAGAUACGGCCCAGACUCCUACGGGAGGCAGCAGUGGGGAAUAUUGCACAAUGGGCGAAAGCCUGAUGCAGCGACGCCGCGUGGGGGAUGACGGCCUUCGGGUUGUAAACCUCUUUCACCAUCGACGAAGGUCCGGGUGUUCUCGGGCUGACGGUAGGUGGAGAAGAAGCACCGGCCAACUACGUG
This 474-nucleotide ribosomal RNA is filed under the name uncultured bacterium. Its description in RNAcentral is "partial 16S ribosomal RNA". It matches the Rfam family "Bacterial small subunit ribosomal RNA", at positions 28 to 507 of the family's 1533-position model. The record is from RNAcentral.